This 2082-nucleotide long non-coding RNA is filed under the name Ananas comosus (pineapple). Its description in RNAcentral is "long non-coding RNA (ACOM_LNC024337)". The record is from RNAcentral. Lineage: Eukaryota; Viridiplantae; Streptophyta; Magnoliopsida; Poales; Bromeliaceae.
ACCGCUCGCCGCGCCCGAAUCGUGCCAAAUUGGUAGUGAUCUCGGGGCGGGGCGUGACAUGAGUAGUCUAAUGUUGUUCCGGUUUUUGUUCUUGUGAACAUUGACAUCGAUUCGUUCCAAAUUUACACUCUCGGGGCAUAAUAGAACAAUAUAAUUAGGUUUUACGCUUUAUUAGAUAGAAUGAGAAAAAGUACCCGUUGCAAAGUUAUACUGUUAGGGUGCAACUGAGUAGUCUAAUGUUAUUCUGAUUUUUAUUCUUGUGAACGUUGACAUCGAUUCGUUCCAAAUUUACAAUCUCGGGGCAUAAUAGAACAAUAUAAUUAGGUUUUACUCUUUGUUCGAUAGAAUGCGAAAAAGUACUCGUUGUAAAGAUAUACUGUUAGGGCGCAACUGAGUAUUCUAAUGUUGAUCUGGUUUUGGUUCUUAUGAAUGUAGACAUCAAUUCAUUCCAAAUUUGCACUCUCGGGGCAUAAUAGAACAAUAUAAUUAGGUUUUACACUUUGUUCGAUAGAAUGAGAAAAAGUACUCGUUGUAAAGUUAUACUGUUAGGGCGCAACGAAGUAUUCUAAUGUUGUUCCGGUUUUGGUUCUUGUGAACGUUGACAUCGAUUCACUCAAAAUUUACACUCUCGGGGCAUAAUAGAACAAUAUAAUUAGGUUUUACUUUUUGUUCGAUCGAAUGAGAAAAAGCACUCGUUGUAAAGUUAUACNGUUUUUGUUCUUGUGAGCGUUGACAUCGAUUCGUUCCAAAUUUACACUCUCUAGGCAUAAUAGAACAAUAUAAUUAGGUUUUACGCUUUCUUCAAAAAAAUGAGAAAAAUUACUCGUUGCAAAGUUAUACAGUUAGGGCGCAACUGAGUAGUCUAAUGUUAUUCCGGUUUUUGUUCUUAUGAGCGUUGACAUCGAUUCGUUCCAAAUUUACAAUCUCUGGGCAUAAUAGAACAAUAUAAUUAGAUUUUACGCUUUCUUCGAUAAAAUGAGAAAAAGCACUCGUUGCAAAGUUAUUCUGUUAUGGCGCAACUGAGUUGUUUAAUGUUGUUCCGGUUUUUGUUCUUGUGAGCGUUGAUAUCGAUUCGUUCCAAAUUUACACUCUCUGGGCAUCAUAGAACAAUAUAAUUAGGUUUUACGAUUUUUUUUAUAAAAUGAGAAAAAUUACUCGUUGCAAAGUUAUACUGUUAUGGCGCAACUGAAGUGCCUAAUGUUGUUCCAGUUUUUGUUCUUGUGAGCGUUGACAUCGAUUCGUUCCAAAUUUACACUCUCUAGGCAUAAUAGAACAAUAUAAUUAGGCUUUACGCUUUCUUCGAUAAAAUGAGAAAAAGUACUCGUUGCAAAGUUAUACUGUUAGGGCGCAACAGAUUUGUCUAAUGUUGUUCCGGUUUUUGUUCUUAUGAGCGUUGACAUCGAUUCGUUCCAAAUUUACACUCUCUGGGCAUAAUAGAACAAUGUAAUUGGAUUUCACGCUUUUUUCGAUAAAAUGAGAAAAAGCACUUGUUGCAAAGUUAUUCUGUUAUGGCGCAACUGAGUUGUUUAAUGUUGUUCGGAUUUUUGUUCUUGUGAGCGUUGACAUCGAUUCGUUCUAAAUUUACACUCUCGGGGCAUAAUAGAACAAUAUAAUUAGGUUUUACGCUUUCUUCGAUAAAAUAAGAAAAAGCACUCGUUGCAAAGUUAUACUGUUUGGGCGCAACUGAGUAGUCUAAUGUUAUUCCGAUUUUUGUUCUUAUGAACGGUGACAUCGAUUCGUUCCAAAUUUAUAAUCAAGGGGUAAAAUAGAACAAUAUAAUUAGGUUUUACUCUUUGUUCGAUAGAAUGCGAAAAUAUACUCGUUGUAAAGUUAUACUGUUAGAGCACAACUGAGUAUUCUAAUGUUGUUCCGGUUUUGGUUCAUAUGAAUGUUGACCUCAAUUCAUUCCAAAUUUGCACUCUCGAGGCAUAAUAGAACAAUAUAAUUAGGUUUUACUCUUUGUUCGAUAGAAUGAGAAAAAGUAAUCGUUGUAAAGUUAUACUGUUAGGGCGCAACGAAGUAUUCUAUUGUUGUUCCGGUUUAGGUUCUUAUGAACGUUGACAUCAAUUCCUUCCAAAUUUA